RNAcentral lists this ribosomal RNA (899 nucleotides) under Simplicillium lanosoniveum. RNAcentral's name for it is "partial large subunit ribosomal RNA". It matches the Rfam family "Eukaryotic large subunit ribosomal RNA", at positions 35 to 964 of the family's 3401-position model. The record is from RNAcentral. Lineage: Eukaryota; Fungi; Ascomycota; Sordariomycetes; Hypocreales; Cordycipitaceae.
UUAGCAUAUCAAUAAGCGGAGGAAAAGAAACCAACAGGGAUUGCCCCAGUAACGGCGAGUGAAGCGGCAACAGCUCAAAUUUGAAAUCUGGCUCCUAGAGUCCGAGUUGUAAUUUGUAGAGGAUGCUUUUGAUGCGGUGCCUUCCGAGUUCCCUGGAACGGGACGCCAUAGAGGGUGAGAGCCCCGUCUGGUCGGAUGCCAAAUCUCUGUAAAGCUCCUUCGACGAGUCGAGUAGUUUGGGAAUGCUGCUCUAAAUGGGAGGUAUAUGUCUUCUAAAGCUAAAUAUUGGCCAGAGACCGAUAGCGCACAAGUAGAGUGAUCGAAAGAUGAAAAGCACUUUGAAAAGAGGGUUAAAUAGUACGUGAAAUUGUUGAAAGGGAAGCGCCUAUGACCAGACUUGGGCCCGGUGAAUCAUCCAGCGUUCUCGCUGGUGCACUUUGCCGGGCACAGGCCAGCAUCAGUUUGUCUUGGGGGAAAAAGGCUUUGGGAACGUGGCUCCCUCGGGAGUGUUAUAGACCAUUGCAUAAUACCCUGGGACGGACUGAGGUUCGCGCAUCUGCAAGGAUGCUGGCGUAAUGGUCAUCAGCGACCCGUCUUGAAACACGGACCAAGGAGUCGUCUUCGUAUGCGAGUGUUCGGGUGUAAAACCCCUACGCGUAAUGAAAGUGAACGCAGGUGAGAGCUUCGGCGCAUCAUCGACCGAUCCUGAUGUUCUCGGAUGGAUUUGAGUAAGAGCAUACGGGGCCGGACCCGAAAGAAGGUGAACUAUUCCUGUAUAGGGUGAAGCCAGAGGAAACUCUGGUGGAGGCUCGCAGCGGUUCUGACGUGCGAAUCGAUCGUCAAAUAUGGGAAUGGGGGCGAAAGACUAAUCGAACCUUCUAGUAGCUGGUUUCCGCGAU